UCGGGAAUUUUGGGCAAUGGGCGCAAGCCUGACCCAGCAACGCCGCGUGAAGGAUGAAAUCCUUCGGGAUGUAAACUUCACAAGAACGGGAAGAAUAAGCAUGGGGUAAUACCCGAUGCGAUGACGGUACUGUUUGUAAGCUCCGGCUAACUCCGUGCCAGCAGCCGCGGUAAUACGGGGGGAGCAAGCGUUGUUCGGAUUUACUGGGCGUAAAGGGCGCGUAGGCGGCACCACAAGUCACUUGUGAAAUCUGGAGGCUUAACCUCCAGCGGCCACGUGAAACUGUGGAGCUAGAGUGCAGAAGGGGCCACUGGAAUUCUCGGUGUAGCGGUGAAAUGCGUAGAUAUCGAGAGGAACACCUGCGGCGAAGGCGGGUGGCUGGGCUGACACUGACGCUGAGGCGCGAAAGCUAGGGGAGCGAACGG
RNAcentral lists this ribosomal RNA (425 nucleotides) under uncultured bacterium. Its description in RNAcentral is "bacterial SSU rRNA". It matches the Rfam family "Bacterial small subunit ribosomal RNA", at positions 355 to 775 of the family's 1533-position model. The record is from RNAcentral.